RNAcentral lists this non-coding RNA (60 nucleotides) under unclassified sequences. The record is from RNAcentral.
GGGUCCAGAACAGAAAACAGAUUCUGGAGGCAUAAAAGAAGGAUAGUCGGGCCACUACCU